This 508-nucleotide ribosomal RNA is filed under the name Oreina ganglbaueri. Its description in RNAcentral is "partial 16S ribosomal RNA". It matches the Rfam family "Bacterial large subunit ribosomal RNA", at positions 1825 to 2599 of the family's 2925-position model. Lineage: Eukaryota; Metazoa; Arthropoda; Insecta; Coleoptera; Chrysomelidae. The record is from RNAcentral.
GUCCUUUUGUAGAUAAUUUAAGGUCUAGCCUGCCCACUGAAAUUUUAAAUGGCCGUGGUAUUUUGACCGUGCUAAGGUAGCAUAAUCAUUAGUUUUUUAAUUAAAAACUGGAAUGAAAGGUUGGAUGAGAAAAUAGCUGUCUCUAUUAAAUUUAAUUAGAAUUUUAUUUUUAAGUUAAAAAGCUUAAUUAUUAUUAAAAGACGAGAAGACCCUAUAGAGUUUAAUUAUUUAAUAAAAAUUAUAUUUUAGUAUUAAUUUAUUUAUUUUAUUAAAUAAUUUAAUUGGGGUGAUUGAAAAAUUUAAUAAACUUUUUUUAUUUAAGAACAUUAAUUUAUGAAUAAGUGAYCCAAUAUUUUUGAUUAUAAGAUAAAAUUACCUUAGGGAUAACAGCGUAAUUUUUUUAGAAAGUUCAUAUUAAAAAAAAAGAUUGCGACCUCGAUGUUGGAUUAAAAUAAAUUUUUGGUGUAGAAGCUAAAAUAUUAGGUCUGUUCGACCUUUAAAAUUUUAC